CUGUUUACAAGUGAAAACAGUCAAAAACGGUUCUAAAAAAAUAUGCUGGUGGAUUUUGAUGUAAGAGGAGAACAGGUGACUCUUAUUAUGUAAUAUGAACUAUUUUCAUCAGAAGCAGUGGUUUAAAGUUGAUGAUAGAUUUCUAUCUUACAAACACACAGCUUUUCACUUCACAAGAUGUUAAUUGAUGGACUGAAGUUGUUUGGAUUACUUGAUUCUUGUGAAUUUUUUAUCAGCUGUUUGGACUCUAAUUCUGAUGGCACCCAUUCACCACAGAGGAUCCAUUGGUUAGCAAGUGAUGUAAUGCUACAUUUCUUCAAAUCUGUUCCAGUGAAGAAGAAGAAAAAACUCAUCUACAUCUUGGAUAGCCAGAGGCUGACCACAGACCUACCUAAAGCUCACUGGGAGUGCCUGGACCAAAAAAAAAAACUUUAAUAAGUCAAACAGUGAGCUGGAAAUUAACUGCAGCGCAAUUUGAAUACAGCCAAAAUUCUCCGAGAAAGAUGCGAAUCUACUUGCGUGCUCCACUUCUUGACAGAUGGGAAAAUGCUGCAUAAUGGUGAGAGAAUAUUAACAUCAUCGUUAUAAUCAAAUUAAUAAUUAUGAUGUCUCUUUUGUGAUCACAUAUUUCUUUAUUUUGACUGUGAGUACUGAUCUGACUCAAGCCGUAAAUCAGUCCGGUUUUCACUCCCAUGUCUUUAAUGGACCAUUUAAUAAUACG
Molecule: long non-coding RNA, 721 nt
Organism: Cyprinus carpio (common carp)
Lineage: Eukaryota; Metazoa; Chordata; Actinopteri; Cypriniformes; Cyprinidae
Source: Ensembl